RNAcentral lists this unclassified non-coding RNA (754 nucleotides) under Hevea brasiliensis (rubber tree). The record is from RNAcentral. Lineage: Eukaryota; Viridiplantae; Streptophyta; Magnoliopsida; Malpighiales; Euphorbiaceae.
AGACUAAAUGCAUACUCAACAGUAAGGAUUUUAAUUUUAGCACUUCAUUGUGCUCUUCUAGCUUUACUUCAAUACUUAGAAAAUGAGUGCAUUGAUAAAACUCAUAAAGUAGGUUUUGUUUAUGCUAGUUUCAUAAUUUCUUAUCUGAAAUGGUGUUAAAUUAAUUGAUGACUGACCAGCAACUGCCUUCUGGGUAAUCUUUAUUGCUAGGGUAGGCCUCCUGUUAUCAAGAAUUCCAUGGAUUUAUUGGCCAAUACUCCUCAGACCUAACUAUGAUGCUUGUACAUCAGUAGGUUCAUCAUGGGUGGCUCUCCUUAUUUGGGUUUUAAGGCAGCCUUAGAUGUUCCUUGACUUGAGGUCAUUUCUGACCUUUUAGUUUAAAAAUCAAGAUUCAGUUCAUAAACUGACUAGGAACCUAGGAAUUGAUUAAGCUAUUUGGAGACAUGUACUGCUAGAUGUUCAUAAACUGCUAGAUGGAGACAUGUAGCAGAAUAAUUGAAUGGUUGUGUUCAAAAGAUCAUCCUUAUAAAGGUCAGCAGCAUAUUUUAGUAGUCCUUAACCUCUGAGUUCCACUUUAUCACCUUGUUCUUGUUGUAUUUAAGAGUGUUGCUUUGUUAUCCUUGUCUUUAUCUGUGAUACCAAUGCACUAAUUAGAUAGGAAUGUCAUGGAUAAAUUAGUGAUAUGUGUCAUCAGGUACCCUCAUUUGUAAUUGUCAGUUUGUCAUUUUCAGGUACCUGUUGAUCAUGUUGACCA